Molecule: ribosomal RNA, 253 nt
Filed under: uncultured bacterium
Lineage: Bacteria
Description: partial 16S ribosomal RNA
Rfam family: Bacterial small subunit ribosomal RNA
Source: RNAcentral
UACGUAGGGUGCAAGCGUUAAUCGGAAUUACUGGGCGUAAAGCGUGCGCAGGCGGUGAUGUAAGACAGGUGUGAAAUCCCCGGGCUCAACCUGGGAACUGCACUUGUGACUGUACGACUGGAGUACGGCAGAGGGGGAUGGAAUUCCGCGUGUAGCAGUGAAAUGCGUAGAUAUGCGGAGGAACACCGAUGGCGAAGGCAAUCCCCUGGGCCUGCACUGACGCUCAUGCACGAAAGCGUGGGGAGCAAACAGG